This 497-nucleotide ribosomal RNA is filed under the name uncultured bacterium. Its description in RNAcentral is "partial 16S ribosomal RNA". It matches the Rfam family "Bacterial small subunit ribosomal RNA", at positions 28 to 507 of the family's 1533-position model. The record is from RNAcentral.
GACGAACGCUGGCGGCGUGCCUAAUACAUGCAAGUUGAGCGCUGAAGGGUGGUACUUGUACCAACUGGAUUAGCAGCGAACGGGUGAGUAACGCGUGGGGAAUCUGCCUUUGAGCAGGGGACAACAUUUGGAAACGAAUGCUAAUACCGCAUAAAAACUUUAAACACAAGUUUUAAGUUUGAAAGAUGCAAUUGCAUCACUCAAAGAUGAUCCCGCGUUGUCUUAGCUAGUUGGUGAGGUAAAGGCUCACCAAGGCGAUGAUACAUAGCCGAACUGAGAGGGGGAUCCGGCAAAAUGGGAAUGAGAACCGGGCCAAACCACUAAGGGAGGGAGCAGGAAGGAAACUUUGGGAAUGGAGGGAAGGCCGGACGGGCAAAGGCGGGGGAAGGAAGAAGGGUGUCGGAUCGGAAAAAUCUGUUGAUAGAGAAGGACGAAGGUGGGAGGGGAAAGCGCACGAAGUGACGGUAACUAACCAGAAAGGGACGGCUAACUACGUG